RNAcentral lists this ribosomal RNA (357 nucleotides) under Triticum aestivum (bread wheat). Its description in RNAcentral is "partial small subunit ribosomal RNA". The record is from RNAcentral. Lineage: Eukaryota; Viridiplantae; Streptophyta; Magnoliopsida; Poales; Poaceae.
AUGGCAGCCGCAGCACUGAGGGCGCAGCUGAACGCCCAUAUCGCCGGCAUGUACACCAAUGGUGUGGUGGACGAGGAUACAUUCGAGGAGCUGCGGGACGAGGGCACCGCCGCCGAGGUCUCCCGCCUCUUCAUCUACGACGCCUCCGAGAUCAUCGACGACAUCGACCUCCAGAUGGAGGAGCCUGAAUUGGACUUUGACGAGGUGGAAGCCCUGACGCAGCAGCUCAUGCGGUGCACCUCCAGGUCUCUCGUGUCAUUGGCUCUUGUUAGGAAUGAGUUCUAUAUUGUGCGACAUGAGUUGGAGAUCGUGAUGCAGCUCGAAGAGCAGAUCGCGGCAUGUGGUCCUGACUCCUAA